Equus caballus (horse) is the source of this 2613-nucleotide long non-coding RNA. Lineage: Eukaryota; Metazoa; Chordata; Mammalia; Perissodactyla; Equidae. The record is from Ensembl.
GUUCACUGCCUCCAGCCUUGUCCUGGUGAGCACAGUGAGCUGGGGCUGGGACCUAGAACGAGGCCCACACUCUGCAGAGGAGGACACAGGCAGAGGUAGGAGGUGAGAGAAAGUCCACAUAGAACCUGAUACCCAGCAGCUGUGAGUUCCUAGUGGGCAAGGCCUGGCUAUUCUGCAGGGUUGAACUCUAGCUCCAAGUACAUUUUGGAUGGGUGGGUAGGUGGGUGGAUGGAUGGUAACAUCCAGGAUGGCAGGAAGUCCAAUGCUGAGUAGGAGGAUGCCUCAACUGUUGAGAAGAGCACAGCAAGGGGAAUCCAGAAGCUGGCGAAUGGAGCUGCCACCUGGGAAAGUUGUCAUCAGAGAAAAGGGCCCUUGCCUCUGGAGGGCUGACUGGGCAUUGAGUAGCGCAAAGACAAUGUAAAGACCACACAUAAGGCAGGCACUGGGGCUCAGGACCGGAGCUGAACUGAUAGAAGUCAAAUGGCUACAGCUGCGGACAGAGACAGUGCAAGGUGACAGGCAAAACAGAACAUGAGCAGGCCAACCGGAGCGCAUCUCUCUGAAUUCUUCUGCAACCAGCUUGAGAAAACUCUGCUUUUAAAGGCUCACCUGAUUAGAUCAGGCCCACCCAGGAUAACAUAACAUAAUCACAGGAGUAAUGUCUCAUCAUAUGCAGAGGUCCUUCCCAUGAUUAAGGAGAUUAUACACCCAAGUGUGGCAAUCUUGGAGGCCAUCUUACAAUCCUAUAUCCCACAAAAGUGCUAUUAAAGAAGAUGCUCCUUCCUUAUUCCUCUGUAAGGAGCAGGUAUGCCUGGUAUCCACCUUUCUCACCAGAUGGAGGAAGCUUGCCUGGGAAUGAAGCCAACCCAGAAGAGAGCAGAACAACAGAUGCAUAAAGACAGAUAGAACACUUACUGCAUCCACUGAAAGCCUGGAUCAUGCUAUACCUAAAGGCCCACCCACAGGCUUUUCCAUUUCAUAAGACGAUUAACUUUUUUCUUAAGCUAUUUGACUUAGAUUCUGACCUUGCAGUUGAAAUGGCCUUGAAUAUUACAGAGGUUGAAAAUGCAUGGCUCUUGAAGAUGUGCUUGCCAUGUUCACAAUUUCACCUAAUGGGCCCUCCUCUCAAAAGAUUAUUUGUUCUUAAGAAAAUCUGUCACAAAAUUUUGUUUCUUUAAUGAGACAUUCAGGGGGAAAAGCAUGCCUAAGUCCAAACACGUGAGAAACAAAUAAAUGAAAAGUCUGCACAAAGAUAUAAAAGAUUUAAAAAAGAUGGCAACAAUAAGCUGGGGUGUGGGUAAAACUAAAGAGAUACUAUCAAGGGCUGAGAAGAAUUACAACCUGCAAAAUAUUGCUGUUGAUGGCCAAAGACUCUCCCCCCCCCCCCCCCGGAGAAAGAGCAUUUCUGCUUUAAUGGGGCUGCCCUACAUUUGUGUGUCACUUUCACCUAUGUUGUCACAUUUAAUCUUCAUGGUGACUCAGUAAGGUGGUCAAUAUCGGUGGACAGUUUCCAUUUCAUAGUUAAGCAAACUGAGAUUCAGAAAAAUUAAGCAAUUCGCCCAAGCUCACAAAGCUGGUAAGCGGCCGAGUCAGGACUAAGCUCAGGUUUCGGGGUGCUGGUCCACGCCGGUGAAGGACAUGAGCUUUAGAACAGCCGGCCCCGCUCAGGUCGCCGCCCCGCCGUUUCCCAGCUUCCAGCUGCCUUUGAAUAAGUUCAUAAAUGUCUGAAACUCCUUGUUCCAGGUUAGCUAACAACGUCCUUCUCAUCGGAUUGUUCGAGGAAUGAAUAAAAUGGCCUUUGUAUAGAUGGUGCUGGCGAGAGUUUGUUCCCUUUCACAUCACUCAGGGGAGGUGACAGGCACCCUCGUGGCCUGGGGAAAGGACGCAGGAGGGUUGUAAAAUGUUUGGGGCAGAUGCUGCCUGCAAAAUCUCUCCAGGAGUGAUGCGAGCCCGGAAUGGGGGUCCCAGUCUCUGUGGAGAGGGCGGCAGAUGGAGGGGAGCCGAUGACACAACAGAGUGACAAGGCCUCCAUGGGGAGGGGAGGCCCGCACCCCAGAGCAGGGCCUGCGUGCUUCCUCUCUGAUCCCUGCUGUUCUUCAGGACCAGGUCAGACUCAACGCAUCUGCUUCCCGUGCGCUCUGAACACAUGGUUCCAGCUCCUGGGCUGGUGGAGCGGAUGAGUUUAGCAUCAGAAGUCUUAUAAAGUCCACUCCUGGGCAUCUGAGCAAACACAAAAUCACCUUCUGAAAUGAGCAAGCUUCAAACUGUGAGAUGCCAGGGCAUCUGAGAGCCCAGUUUGUAACUACGUGCUAAGAGUGGAUAUUCUUAACCAGUUUCUGGUCUCUGUGGUGCCUUAUCCCUACCUCUGACUCUGCCAAGCGAUCUUCCUAUCAGUGUGGCACCAGGGAGAGUUACUGCUUUGUGAAUGCAUGGACCUGACAUCUGCUCCCAUCUUCGCCCUGAACUUGCUGUGUGACGUUGACCAAAUCACUUUCCCUCUCUGGGCCUCAGUGUACUCAGUUAUAAGAUGAAGGGGCUGAGUUUUUAGGUGGCUUUUUUAUUACUUGAGACUGAAAAACAUCCUGAGAAAUAGAGAGAUUGUGGGCUCCUCCG